RNAcentral lists this long non-coding RNA (673 nucleotides) under Malus domestica (apple). Its description in RNAcentral is "long non-coding RNA (MDOM_LNC013128)". The record is from RNAcentral. Lineage: Eukaryota; Viridiplantae; Streptophyta; Magnoliopsida; Rosales; Rosaceae.
GUGUUCAAAGCACUCUCACGCUUAUCAACUUAAUAAUGGUUUGGUUGAGGGUUUUAGGUCUCAUCAUAUAUAAGCAUGCUUUUUAAUCUUAUUAAAAAAAUUUGGUCCUAUUAUAACUAUUGGUCCAUGUGAUUGAUUUAGUAGUAUAUGAUACUCCCACUAUGCUUGUAAAACGGUUUUUAAAGAAAGAAUAUAUGGUACUACUAACGUAAGCUUUGCAUUCAUUGAUGGACUAUAUAGUUGCCUUAGGGCCUUAGGAUGACUAUGAACCUUUGAUUCGAUCCAACACGAGCCUAGUGUUGGAUCUCGGUCUAGGAACGGUGAUUAAUUUUAGUUACACUUUUAAUCACAUUAAGGCGUGUUUUCUUAUUGGGCCUUGGACCCUCUACUCCAAUUUUAUGCAUAUCAAAUAAUACAAGAAAGGAGUACUUCAAAGUAAAGAAGAGCUUAUGCUCUUUUACAACAUUUGAACAAACUAAAUUACUUUAAAGUAAAGAAAAGCUCAUGCUCUUUUACAACAUUUGAUCAUAUCAAAUUACAACCAAAAUCUAAUCUACACAUUACCAUGGUUCAAACAACUUGAGAGAUGGCCUUUCACAUAACUCAAUUAUCGUAGGCUUAGGUUCAUAAUACCCUUUCUUUAAUUAAUUAUAAUUAACGCUUUAACUAAGUA